CGUCAAAGCUUGAUUAUAAAACUCAACUAAUACCAAAAAUAAAUUAAAACCCUACCUCAAUACUGAGAAAUUUCAUACACUUAUGAAAGCUAUAAUGUUAAAACUAGUAACAUGAAAUUUAAACUUUCUCUUAAAUGCGAGUAUAAGUCAAAAUGGAUAACACCACUGACAAUUAACAGCCUAAACUAAAGUGUUAACCUAACAAGAAAACCUCACUAACCCAUCUGUUAAUCUAACACAAGAGCAUUAAAAGAAAGACUAAAAGAAAAAGAAGGAACUCGGCAAAUAAUCAAUUCCGCCUGUUUACCAAAAACAUCGCCUCCUGAAUAUCAUAAGAGGUCCAGCCUGCCCAGUGACUCUGUUUAACGGCCGCGGUAUCCUAACCGUGCGAAGGUAGCGUAAUCACCUGUUUUUUAAUUAAAGACCUGUAUGAAAGGCAUCACGAGAAUUACACUGUCUCCUUUUUCAAGUCAGUGAAACUAAUCUCCCUGUGAAAAAGCAGGGAUACUUCUACAAGACGAGAAGACCCUUUGGAGCUUAAGACAAAUAAGUAUUUGCCCCCCUUUUUCUAUUAUACCACAUGGCACUAUAUUUAAAAGUCUUGGGUUGGGGCAACCGCGGAGAAUAAACAAACCUCCAGGCUGAAUGGAAAUUUCCUUAACAAAAAGCAACAACUUUAUGUAUCAAAAAAUUGACACAUUUUGACCCAAUAUAUUUUGACUAACGAACCAAGUUACCCUAGGGAUAACAGCGCAAUCCACUUCAAGAGUUCCUAUCGAAAAGUGGGCUUACGACCUCG
This 799-nucleotide ribosomal RNA is filed under the name Eleutherodactylus probolaeus (Yuma robber frog). RNAcentral describes it as "partial 16S ribosomal RNA". It matches the Rfam family "Bacterial large subunit ribosomal RNA", at positions 1389 to 2528 of the family's 2925-position model. The record is from RNAcentral. Lineage: Eukaryota; Metazoa; Chordata; Amphibia; Anura; Eleutherodactylidae.